UACGAAGGGGGCUAGCGUUGCUCGGAAUCACUGGGCGUAAAGCGCACGUAGGCGGCUUCUUAAGUCAGGGGUGAAAUCCUGGAGCUCAACUCCAGAACUGCCUUUGAUACUGAGAAGCUUGAGUCCGGGAGAGGUGAGUGGAACUGCGAGUGUAGAGGUGAAAUUCGUAGAUAUUCGCAAGAACACCAGUGGCGAAGGCGGCUCACUGGCCCGGUCUGAUGCUGAGGUGCGAAAGCUAGGGGAGCAAACGGG
This 252-nucleotide ribosomal RNA is filed under the name uncultured bacterium. Its description in RNAcentral is "partial 16S ribosomal RNA". It matches the Rfam family "Bacterial small subunit ribosomal RNA", at positions 524 to 776 of the family's 1533-position model. The record is from RNAcentral.